ACGAGUCCAAAAUAGGACGAAACGCGCGUC
This 30-nucleotide non-coding RNA is filed under the name Schistosoma mansoni. Lineage: Eukaryota; Metazoa; Platyhelminthes; Trematoda; Strigeidida; Schistosomatidae. The record is from RNAcentral.